RNAcentral lists this ribosomal RNA (307 nucleotides) under uncultured bacterium. RNAcentral's name for it is "bacterial SSU rRNA". It matches the Rfam family "Bacterial small subunit ribosomal RNA", at positions 9 to 297 of the family's 1533-position model. The record is from RNAcentral.
GAGUUUGAUCCUGGCUCAGGAUGAACGCUGGCGGCGUGCCUAACACAUGCAAGUCGAACGAAGCGAUUUUUAUGAAGUUUUCGGAUGGAAUAGAGAUUGACUGAGUGGCGGACGGGUGAGUAACGCGUGGGUAACCUGCCUCACACUGGGGGACAACAGUUAGAAAUGACUGCUAAUACCGCAUAAGCGCACGGUACCGCAUGGUACAGUGUGAAAAACUCCGGUGGUGUGAGAUGGACCCCGCGUCUGAUUAGAUAGUUGGUGGGGUAACGGCCUACCAAGUCAACGAUCAGUAGCCGACCUGAGA